GUGGUCUUGGUGGGAGUCUGGGCCAUUCUUCGUACGGAGGCAGCAGAGAAAGCAGUCAGGAGUGGACUGCGACGCCGUCCUCAGUUUUUGUUUCCCACGUUGGGAAAGGAUGUCACUGUGGCGCGGUCUGCAUCCACGAAUGUACCCCACUGAAGGUGAAUGGGGGGCCGGCGUGACCAGCUGAGUCCAGAGCACCCGGAGAGCCCCGAGCCGGACCUCGUGGAAGAGUUAAAACAGCUAAUGGAAUCACUUACACGAGGAGCUCACAAAACAGGAACAACAAAACUGCAAACGAGAAGAGAGCAAAACCAAUCCCAUAAAUAAUCUAAAAAAUAAUGUAUUCUUUUUUCAUCAAUCACUUCAUAUGAGGUUGAUUUAUUUGUGAUUCCUGGUUUUCCCAUCUAUGCGCACUGUAAAACAAAAAGUAGUUCCACAUUAUUAAAACAAAAGUUCUAUUUAAUUAGAGUGCUGCAUGUACUUCAUAAAAUAUACCUCCACCUCAGAUAAUUACACUUUAGAUUUGAUUAGGAGAGCUGCAGGCCACGCUGGAGAAGAGGUAAACAGUAUGGUGGGGUAUCAGAGAUGAAGAAAAUAACAAUUGUGUAAUAAAGAAAAACGAAGGUGUUAUAUGAAGCAUAUUUUUGUUUUAGAAAGGCGCAGAGCUUGAAAUGUCUAUAUUCUUUUUAAAAUAUGUAAAAAUAAAUGGCAAUUUACUGUUGCUUAUAGCUCAACACAUUAAACUAAAAUGGAAAUCUAUAACAUAUGAUCAUCCAUAGCCAGC
Lepisosteus oculatus (spotted gar) is the source of this 781-nucleotide long non-coding RNA. RefSeq lists it as uncharacterized. The record is from RefSeq and is a predicted model, not a curated record. NCBI's taxonomy places the organism in Eukaryota, Metazoa, Chordata, Actinopteri, Semionotiformes, Lepisosteidae.